RNAcentral lists this small RNA (110 nucleotides) under Salmonella enterica subsp. enterica serovar Typhimurium str. SL1344. Its description in RNAcentral is "STnc1400". Lineage: Bacteria; Pseudomonadati; Pseudomonadota; Gammaproteobacteria; Enterobacterales; Enterobacteriaceae. The record is from RNAcentral.
GCCAGAGAUAGCGCCCAUUGGGUGAACUUUGGUUUUUUGUGUAGUUUUCCGGUGGAACUUUGGUCGGUGUCACCGGACGUAUGGGCCGCCUUGCGCGGCUUUUACGUUAA